AACGCUGGCGGCAUGGCUAAAACAUGCAAGUCGAACGCGAAAGUUUCUUCGGAGACGAGUAGAGUGGCGAACGGGCGAGUAAGGCGGUUCUAACGUACCCUUAGGCGAGGGAUAGCUCGAGGAAACCCGUGGUAAUACCGCAUAAUCCGGUAACGGCAAAGGUCGGCCGCCUUGGGAGCGGGAAAUGUCCUAUCAGGUAGUUGGUGGGGUAAAAGCCUACCAAGCCUUAGACGGGUAGCGGGUGUGAGAGCAUGACCCGCCGCAUCGGGACUGAGACACUGCCCGGACUCCUACGGGAGGCUGCAGCGACGAAUAUUCCGCAAUGCGCGAAAGCGUGACGGAGCAAUGCCGCGUGAAGGAUGAAGCCUCUCGGGGUGUAAACUUCUGUCAGGUCUUAGAAAGUACUGAUCAGGACCAAAGGAAGGCCGGCUAAGUUCGUGCCAGCAGCCGCGGUAAUACGAACGGCCCGAGCGUUAAUCGGAAUCACUGGGCUUAAAGCGUACGCAGGCGGACCAGAAAGUACCUUGUGAAAUCCCUCGGCUCAACCGAGGAACUGCUUGGUAUACUGCUGGUCUUGAGUGUGGUAGGGGCGGUCGGAACGAUAGGUGGAGCGGUGAAAUGCGUAGAUAUCUAUCGGAACGCCAAAGGAGAAGUCAGGCCGCUGGGCCACCACUGACGCUCAUGUACGAAAGCGUGGGUAGCGAACGGGAUUAGAUACCCCGGUAGUCCACGCCCUAAACGAUGUGCACUAGACUCGGGAGGAUCUGACGCCCUCCGAGUCGCAGAGAAAUCAUUAAGUGCACCGCCUGGGGAGUACGGUCGCAAGGCUAAAACUCAAAGGAAUUGACGGGGGCUCACACAAGCGGUGGAGCAUGUGGCUUAAUUCGAAGCAACGCGAAGAACCUUAUCCUGGAUUUGACAUGUACGGAUUAGCUGGGAGAAACCUCAGUGACGCUCUUUACGUGGAACAUACACAGGUGCUGCAUGGCUGUCGUCAGCUCGUGCCGUGAGGUGUUAGGUUAAGUCCUUCAACGAGCGAAACCCUUGCCGUUAGUUGCCAGCGAGUCAUGUCGGGGACUCUAGCGGGACUGCCGGUGUUAAACCGGAGGAAGGUGGGGAUGACGUCAAGUCCUCAUGGCCUUUAUGCCCUGGGCUGCACACGUGCUACAAUGGUAUCUACAGAGCGAAGCGAUGUCGCAAGGCGGAGCAAAUCGCAAAAAAGAUGCCCCAGUUCGGAUUGGGGUCUGCAAUUCGACCCCAUGAAGGCGGAAUCGCUAGUAAUCGCGUAUCAGCUACGACGCGGUGAAUACGUUCCUGAGCCUUGUACACACCGCCCGUCACGUCAUGGAAGCCGCAGUUGCCUUAAGUCGCCCUAAUUCAGGGGUGCCCACGGUAAGCUCGUGACUGGGACUAAGUCG
This 1418-nucleotide ribosomal RNA is filed under the name uncultured prokaryote. RNAcentral's name for it is "partial 16S ribosomal RNA". It matches the Rfam family "Bacterial small subunit ribosomal RNA". The record is from RNAcentral.